RNAcentral lists this transfer RNA (71 nucleotides) under Camelus bactrianus (Bactrian camel). It matches the Rfam family "tRNA". Rfam says of the family: Transfer RNA (tRNA) molecules are approximately 80 nucleotides in length. Their secondary structure includes four short double-helical elements and three loops (D, anti-codon, and T loops). RNAcentral also lists the same sequence under 1 other name. Lineage: Eukaryota; Metazoa; Chordata; Mammalia; Artiodactyla; Camelidae. The record is from Rfam by way of RNAcentral.
AAAGUUAUAGCUCAGUGGUAGAGCGUGUGCUCAGCAAGCAUGAGGUUGUGGGUUCAAUCCCAGUACAUCUA